Molecule: long non-coding RNA, 378 nt
Filed under: Mytilus galloprovincialis (Mediterranean mussel)
Lineage: Eukaryota; Metazoa; Mollusca; Bivalvia; Mytilida; Mytilidae
Source: RNAcentral
GGUGGCUCGGGACUAUUCGACUGCGCAUAAUUUCACGCAUGAAUUACAAAAGUAUUUGUCAUAAGUUCGACAUAAUUUUUUUUAAUAUUUUGAUUGAUUAGAAAUGUUAAAUCAUUGUAGUUAUGUGAAUAAUAGAAUAUUUUCGUUAUAAUCCGUAUUUUUUAAAGGGUCAAAAUGACAUUUCACCCAUUUUCCCCAUUUUCCCGCCAAAAUUUGGGUUUUAACGCAAAAUAUAUUUUUUUCCUUAUCGGUGACCUAUUUUUUUUAUUUGCUCAUUCUUUGAAGCUAUAUUUCAGCUUUUUAUAUUCCAGUUUUGGACCAAGUGUCAUAGACAGUUUUUUUGAUAAUCCGAUAAAAUUAUGUCAACACCUCUAUUUU